UGUGAAUCAGUGCUGAUUCUGCCCAUACUU
RNAcentral lists this non-coding RNA (30 nucleotides) under Mus musculus (house mouse). The record is from RNAcentral. Lineage: Eukaryota; Metazoa; Chordata; Mammalia; Rodentia; Muridae.